GGCGAUACGGNCACGACUAGAGUGCUGUAGGGGUAACUGGAAUUCCUGGUGUAGCGGUGAAAUGCGCAGAUNUCAGGAGGAACACCGAUGGCGAAGGCAGGUUACUGGGCAGUUACUGACGCUGAGGAGCGAAAGCAUGGGGAGCGAACAGGAUUAGAUACCCUGGUAGUCCAUGCUGUAAACGGUGGGCGCUAGGUGUGGGCUGUGUGUUUGCAGUCUGUGCCGUAGCUAACGCAUUAAGCGCCCCGCCUGGGGAGUACGGCCGCAAGGCUAAAACUCAAAGGAAUUGACGGGGGCCCGCACAAGCGGCGGAGCAUGUGGAUUAAUUCGAUGCAACGCGAAGAACCUUACCUGGGUUUGACAUGCACCAGAUCGGCGUAGAGAUACGUUUUCCCUUGUGGUUGGUGCACAGGUGGUGCAUGGUUGUCGUCAGCUCGUGUCGUGAGAUGUUGGGUUAAGUCCCGCAACGAGCGCAACCCUUGUCUUAUGUUGCCAGCACAUUUUUGGUGGGGACUCAUGAGAAACUGCCGGGGUCAACUCGGAGGAAGGUGGGGAUGACGUCAAAUCAUCAUGCUCUUUAUACCCAGGGCUUCACACAUGCUACAAUGGUCGGUACAACGGGUUGCGACACUGUGAAGUGAAGCUAAUCUCUUAAAGCCGGCCUCAGUUCGGAUUGGGGUCUGCAACUCGACCCCA
This 696-nucleotide ribosomal RNA is filed under the name uncultured bacterium. Its description in RNAcentral is "bacterial SSU rRNA". It matches the Rfam family "Bacterial small subunit ribosomal RNA", at positions 626 to 1320 of the family's 1533-position model. The record is from RNAcentral.